Molecule: ribosomal RNA, 434 nt
Filed under: uncultured bacterium
Lineage: Bacteria
Description: partial 16S ribosomal RNA
Rfam family: Bacterial small subunit ribosomal RNA
Source: RNAcentral
AGCGAACGCUGGCGGCAGGCCUAACACAUGCAAGUCGAACGAACCUUUCGGGGUUAGUGGCGGACGGGUGAGUAACACGUGGGAACGUGCCUUUAGGUUCGGAAUAACUCAGGGAAACUUGUGCUAAUACCGAAUGUGCCCUUCGGGGGAAAGAUUUAUCGCCUUUAGAGCGGCCCGCGUCUGAUUAGCUAGUUGGUUGAGGUAAUGGCUCACCAAGGCGACGAUCAGUAGCUGGUCUGAGAGGAUGAUCAGCCACAUUGGGACUGAGACACGGCCCAAACUCCUACGGGAGGCAGCAGUGGGGAAUCUUGUGCAAUGGGCGAAAGCCUGACGCAGCCAUGCCGCGUGAAUGAUGAAGGUCUUAGGAUUGUAAAAUUCUUUCACCGGGGACGAUAAUGACGGUACCCGGAGAAGAAGCCCCGGCUAACUUCGUG